GCUUGUCUCAAAGAUUAAGCCAUGCAUGUCUAAGUAUAAGCCUUUACACGGUGAGACUGCGAAUGGCUCAUUAAAUCAGAAACUGUUUAUUUGAUAGUGCCUACUACUUGGAUAACCGUAGUAAUUCUAGAGCUAAUACAUGCAAAAAGCCUGGACUUCUGGAACAGGCGUAUUUAUUAGAUAUACAAACCAACCGCUUCGGCGACCUUGGGUGACUCAUAAUAACUGAUCGAAUCCCUUUUUGGGAUAAAUCAUUCAAGUUUCUGCCCUAUCAGCUUUCGAUGGUUGUGUAUUGGACAACCACUGGCAAUAACGGGUAACGGAGAAUUAGGGUUCGGUUCCGGAGAGUUGGCCUUAAAAAUAGCCAACACAUCUAAGGAAGGCAGCAGG
RNAcentral lists this ribosomal RNA (390 nucleotides) under uncultured marine stramenopile. RNAcentral describes it as "partial small subunit ribosomal RNA". It matches the Rfam family "Eukaryotic small subunit ribosomal RNA", at positions 30 to 432 of the family's 1831-position model. The record is from RNAcentral.